GGGCGGUUAGCUCAGUUGGUUAGAGCAUUGCGUUGACAUCGCAAAGGCCGUAGGUUCGAGUCCUAUACCGCCCA
Molecule: transfer RNA, 74 nt
Filed under: Levilinea saccharolytica
Lineage: Bacteria; Bacillati; Chloroflexota; Anaerolineae; Anaerolineales; Anaerolineaceae
Also listed under: 6 other names
Rfam family: tRNA
About the family: Transfer RNA (tRNA) molecules are approximately 80 nucleotides in length.
Source: Rfam by way of RNAcentral